UGCGCAUGCCUGUUUUCAUGUGUUGUGCUGAUAGGUGACUGACACCAAGUUUCCUUUCUCAUGUUUCAGGAGCUGUUGGCCAGACACUGCUGGAUACUGACAGCAGAAAGCUGACUCGGAGACAAGCAGCCAGAGAUGUUUGGACACAUCAUCACUUUGAAUCUGGCAUCUGAGUGAGUGUCCUUGCUUCAUGAGGCUUCAGAUUUGAGCCCAGGCUGGUAAUCUGCUGUC
This 231-nucleotide long non-coding RNA is filed under the name Apteryx rowi (Okarito brown kiwi). RNAcentral's name for it is "lncRNA (ENSARWG00000004455.1)". The record is from RNAcentral. Lineage: Eukaryota; Metazoa; Chordata; Aves; Apterygiformes; Apterygidae.